This 395-nucleotide ribosomal RNA is filed under the name uncultured bacterium. RNAcentral's name for it is "bacterial SSU rRNA". It matches the Rfam family "Bacterial small subunit ribosomal RNA", at positions 505 to 898 of the family's 1533-position model. The record is from RNAcentral.
GUGCCAGCCGCCGCGGUAAUACAGAGGUCCCAAGCGUUGUUCGGAUUCACUGGGCGUAAAGGGUGCGUAGGUGGUUGGGUAAGUCUGAUGUGAAAGCUCGAAGCUCAACUUCGAAAUGGCAUUGGAUACUAUCUGGCUGGAGGGUCGGAGGGGGGACUGGAAUUCUCGGUGUAGCAGUGAAAUGCGUAGAUAUCGAGAGGAACACCAGUGGCGAAGGCGAGUCCCUGGACGACUCCUGACACUGAGGCACGAAAGCUAGGGGAGCAAACAGGAUUAGAUACCCUGGUAGUCCUAGCUGUAAACGGUGCAUAUUUGCUGUAAAAGGAAUCGACCCCUUUUGUGGCGUAGCUAACGCGUUAAAUAUGCCGCCUGGGAAGUACGGUCGCAAGAUUAAA